CCUACGUGAGGCAGCAGUGGGGAAUAUUGCACAAUGGGGGAAACCCUGAUGCAGCGACGCCGCGUGAGUGAAGAAGUAAUUCGUUAUGUAAAGCUCUAUCAGCAGGGAAGAAAAUGACGGUACCUGAGUAAGAAGCCCCGGCUAACUACGUGCCAGCAGCCGCGGUAAUACGUAGGGGGCAAGCGUUAUCCGGAUUUACUGGGUGUAAAGGGAGCGGAGACGGCAGGUCAAGUCUGGAGUGAAAGGCGGGGGCUCAACCCCCGGACUGCUCUGGAAACUGUACGGCUGGAGUGCAGGAGAGGUAAGUGGAAUUCCUAGUGUAGCGGUGAAAUGCGUAGAUAUUAGGAGGAACACCAGUGGCGAAGGCGGCUUACUGGACUGUAACUGACGUUGAGGCUCGAAAGCGUGGGGAGCAAACAGGAUUAGAUACCCCUGUAGUC
RNAcentral lists this ribosomal RNA (440 nucleotides) under uncultured bacterium. RNAcentral describes it as "partial 16S ribosomal RNA". It matches the Rfam family "Bacterial small subunit ribosomal RNA", at positions 338 to 795 of the family's 1533-position model. The record is from RNAcentral.